Molecule: ribosomal RNA, 468 nt
Filed under: uncultured bacterium
Lineage: Bacteria
Description: partial 16S ribosomal RNA
Rfam family: Bacterial small subunit ribosomal RNA
Source: RNAcentral
GACGAACGCUGGCGGCGUGCUUAACACAUGCAAGUCGAACGGAAAGGCCCUGCUUUUGUGGGGUGCUCGAGUGGCGAACGGGUGAGUAACACGUGAGUAACCUGCCCUUGACUUUGGGAUAACCUCAGGAAACUGGGGCUAAUACCGGAUAGGAGCUCCUGCUGCAUGGUGGGGGUUGGAAAGUUUCGGCGGUUGGGGAUGGACUCGCGGCUUAUCAGCUUGUUGGUGGGGUAGUGGCUUACCAAGGCUUUGACGGGUAGCCGGCCUGAGAGGGUGACCGGCCACAUUGGGACUGAGAUACGGCCAAGACUCCUACGGGAGGCAGCAGUGGGGAAUAUUGCACAAUGGGCGGAAGCCUGAUGCAGCAACGCCGCGUGCGGGAUGACGGCCUUCGGGUUGUAAACCGCUUUCGCCUGUGACGAAGCGUGAGUGACGGUAAUGGGUAAAGAAGCACCGGCUAACUACGUG